AUUGAACGCUGGCGGCAGGCCUAACACAUGCAAGUCGAGCGGUAGAGAGAAGCUUGCUUCUCUUGAGAGCGGCGGACGGGUGAGUAAUGCCUAGGAAUCUGCCUGGUAGUGGGGGAUAACGUUCGGAAACGGACGCUAAUACCGCAUACGUCCUACGGGAGAAAGCAGGGGACCUUCGGGCCUUGCGCUAUCAGAUGAGCCUAGGUCGGAUUAGCUAGUUGGUGAGGUAAUGGCUCACCAAGGCGACGAUCCGUAACUGGUCUGAGAGGAUGAUCAGUCACACUGGAACUGAGACGCGGUCCAGACUCCUACGGGAGGCAGCAGUGGGGAAUAUUGGACAAUGGGCGAAAGCCUGAUCCAGCCAUGCCGCGUGUGUGAAGAAGGUCUUCGGAUUGUAAAGCACUUUAAGUUGGGAGGAAGGGCAGUAAAUUAAUACUUUGCUGUUUUGACGUUACCGACAGAAUAAGCACCGGCUAACUCUGUGCCAGCAGCCGCGGUAAUACAGAGGGUGCAAGCGUUAAUCGGAAUUACUGGGCGUAAAGCGCGCGUAGGUGGUUUGUUAAGUUGGAUGUGAAAUCCCCGGGCUCAACCUGGGAACUGCAUUCAAAACUGACUGACUAGAGUAUGGUAGAGGGUGGUGGAAUUUCCUGUGUAGCGGUGAAAUGCGUAGAUAUAGGAAGGAACACCAGUGGCGAAGGCGACCACCUGGACUAAUACUGACACUGAGGUGCGAAAGCGCGGGGAGCAAACAGGAUUAGAUACCCUGGUAGUCCACGCCGUAAACGAUGUCAACUAGCCGUUGGAAGCCUUGAGCUUUUAGUGGCGCAGCUAACGCAUUAAGUUGACCGCCUGGGGAGUACGGCCGCAAGGUUAAAACUCAAAUGAAUUGACGGGGGCCCGCACAAGCGGUGGAGCAUGUGGUUUAAUUCGAAGCAACGCGAAGAACCUUACCAGGCCUUGACAUCCAAUGAACUUUCUAGAGAUAGAUUGGUGCCUUCGGGAACAUUGAGACAGGUGCUGCAUGGCUGUCGUCAGCUCGUGUCGUGAGAUGUUGGGUUAAGUCCCGUAACGAGCGCAACCCUUGUCCUUAGUUACCAGCACGUAAUGGUGGGCACUCUAAGGAGACUGCCGGUGACAAACCGGAGGAAGGUGGGGAUGACGUCAAGUCAUCAUGGCCCUUACGGCCUGGGCUACACACGUGCUACAAUGGUCGGUACAGAGGGUUGCCAAGCCGCGAGGUGGAGCUAAUCCCAUAAAACCGAUCGUAGUCCGGAUCGCAGUCUGCAACUCGACUGCGUGAAGUCGGAAUCGCUAGUAAUCGCGAAUCAGAAUGUCGCGGUGAAUACGUUCCCGGGCCU
Molecule: ribosomal RNA, 1358 nt
Filed under: uncultured bacterium
Lineage: Bacteria
Description: bacterial SSU rRNA
Rfam family: Bacterial small subunit ribosomal RNA
Source: RNAcentral